GAAUUUGAUCGUGGCUCAGGAUGAACGCUAGCUACAGGCUUAACACAUGCAAGUCGAGGGGCAUCAGGAAGAAAGCUUGCUUUCUUUGCUGGCGACCGGCGCACGGGUGAGUAACACGUAUCCAACCUGCCCUUUACUCGGGGAUAGCCUUUCGAAAGAAAGAUUAAUAUCCGAUAGCAUAUAUUUCCCGCACGGGUUUUAUAUUAAAGAAUUCGGUAUGAGAUGGGAUGCGUUCCAUUAGUUGUGGGGGUAACGCCACCAGACUACGAUGGAUAGGGUUCUGAGAGGAAGGUCCCCCAAUUGGAACUGAGACACGGUCCAAACUCCUACGGGAGCAGCAGUGA
This 344-nucleotide ribosomal RNA is filed under the name uncultured bacterium. RNAcentral's name for it is "bacterial SSU rRNA". It matches the Rfam family "Bacterial small subunit ribosomal RNA", at positions 9 to 357 of the family's 1533-position model. The record is from RNAcentral.